RNAcentral lists this ribosomal RNA (510 nucleotides) under uncultured bacterium. RNAcentral describes it as "partial 16S ribosomal RNA". It matches the Rfam family "Bacterial small subunit ribosomal RNA", at positions 28 to 507 of the family's 1533-position model. The record is from RNAcentral.
GACGAACGCUGGCGGCGUGCUUAACACAUGCAAGUCGAACGAAGAGCGAUGGAAGCUUGCUUCUAUCAAUCUUAGUGGCGCACGGGUGAGUAACGCGUAAUCAACCUGCCCUUCAGAGGGGGACAACAGUUGGAAACGACUGCUAAUACCGCAUACGAUCUGACCUCGGCAUCGAGGAUAGAUGAAAGGUGGCCUCUACAUGUAAGCUAUCACUGAAGGAGGGGAUUGCGUCUGAUUAGCUAUUUGGAGGGGUAACGGCCCACCAAGGCGAUGAUCAGUAGCCGGUCUGAGAGGAUGAACGGCCACAUUGGGACUGAGACACGGCCCAGACUCCUACGGGAGGCAGCAGUGGGGAAUCUUCCGCAAUGGACGAAAGUCUGACGGAGCAACGCCGCGUGAGUGAUGACGGCCUUCGGGUUGUAAAGCUCUGUUAAUCGGGACGAAAGGCCUUUUUGCGAAUAGUGAGAAGGAUUGGCGGUACCGGAAUAGAAAGCCACGGCUAACUACGUG